This 465-nucleotide ribosomal RNA is filed under the name Vreelandella stevensii. RNAcentral describes it as "partial 16S ribosomal RNA". It matches the Rfam family "Bacterial small subunit ribosomal RNA", at positions 338 to 795 of the family's 1533-position model. Lineage: Bacteria; Pseudomonadati; Pseudomonadota; Gammaproteobacteria; Oceanospirillales; Halomonadaceae. The record is from RNAcentral.
CCUACGGGUGGCAGCAGUGGGGAAUAUUGGACAAUGGGGGCAACCCUGAUCCAGCCAUGCCGCGUGUGGGAAGAAGGCCCUCGGGUUGUAAAGCACUUUCAGUGAGGAAGAACGCCUGGUGGUUAAUACCCAUCAGGAAAGACAUCACUCACAGAAGAAGCACCGGCUAACUCCGUGCCAGCAGCCGCGGUAAUACGGAGGGUGCGAGCGUUAAUCGGAAUUACUGGGCGUAAAGCGCGCGUAGGUGGCUUGAUAAGCCGGUUGUGAAAGCCCCGGGCUCAACCUGGGAACGGCAUCCGGAACUGUCAAGCUAGAGUGCAGGAGAGGAAGGUAGAAUUCCCGGUGUAGCGGUGAAAUGCGUAGAGAUCGGGAGGAAUACCAGUGGCGAAGGCGGCCUUCUGGACUGACACUGACACUGAGGUGCGAAAGCGUGGGUAGCAAACAGGAUUAGAUACCCUAGUAGUC